CCUACGGGUGGCUGCAGUGGGGAAUAUUGCACAAUGGGCGCAAGCCUGAUGCAGCCAUGCCGCGUGUGUGAAGAAGGCCUUCGGGUUGUAAAGCACUUUCAGCGGGGAGGAAGGCGGUGAGGUUAAUAACCUCAUCGAUUGACGUUACCCGCAGAAGAAGCACCGGCUAACUCCGUGCCAGCAGCCGCGGUAAUACGGAGGGUGCAAGCGUUAAUCGGAAUUACUGGGCGUAAAGCGCACGCAGGCGGUCUGUCAAGUCGGAUGUGAAAUCCCCGGGCUCAACCUGGGAACUGCAUUCGAAACCGGCAGGCUAGAGUCUUGUAGAGGGGGGUAGAAUUCCAGGUGUAGCGGUGAAAUGCGUAGAGAUCUGGAGGAAUACCGGUGGCGAAGGCGGCCCCCUGGACAAAGACUGACGCUCAGGUGCGAAAGCGUGGGGAGCAAACAGGAUUAGAUACCCCAGUAGUC
RNAcentral lists this ribosomal RNA (465 nucleotides) under uncultured Klebsiella sp. RNAcentral describes it as "bacterial SSU rRNA". It matches the Rfam family "Bacterial small subunit ribosomal RNA", at positions 338 to 795 of the family's 1533-position model. Lineage: Bacteria; Pseudomonadati; Pseudomonadota; Gammaproteobacteria; Enterobacterales; Enterobacteriaceae. The record is from RNAcentral.